RNAcentral lists this ribosomal RNA (1336 nucleotides) under Mycobacterium sp. DWMJ-1448B1. RNAcentral describes it as "bacterial SSU rRNA". It matches the Rfam family "Bacterial small subunit ribosomal RNA", at positions 81 to 1430 of the family's 1533-position model. Lineage: Bacteria; Bacillati; Actinomycetota; Actinomycetes; Mycobacteriales; Mycobacteriaceae. The record is from RNAcentral.
UUCGGGGUACUCGAGUGGCGAACGGGUGAGUAACACGUGGGUGAUCUGCCCUGCACUUUGGGAUAAGCCUGGGAAACUGGGUCUAAUACCGAAUAGGACCACGCGCUUCAUGGUGUGUGGUGGAAAGCUUUUGCGGUGUGGGAUGGGCCCGCGGCCUAUCAGCUUGUUGGUGGGGUAAUGGCCUACCAAGGCGACGACGGGUAGCCGGCCUGAGAGGGUGACCGGCCACACUGGGACUGAGAUACGGCCCAGACUCCUACGGGAGGCAGCAGUGGGGAAUAUUGCACAAUGGGCGCAAGCCUGAUGCAGCGACGCCGCGUGAGGGAUGACGGCCUUCGGGUUGUAAACCUCUUUCAAUAGGGACGAAGCGCAAGUGACGGUACCUAUAGAAGAAGCACCGGCCAACUACGUGCCAGCAGCCGCGGUAAUACGUAGGGUGCGAGCGUUGUCCGGAAUUACUGGGNGUAAAGAGCUCGUAGGUGGUUUGUCGCGUUGUUCGUGAAAACUCACAGCUUAACUGUGGGCGUGCGGGCGAUACGGGCAGACUAGAGUACUGCAGGGGAGACUGGAAUUCCUGGUGUAGCGGUGGAAUGCGCAGAUAUCAGGAGGAACACCGGUGGCGAAGGCGGGUCUCUGGGCAGUAACUGACGCUGAGGAGCGAAAGCGUGGGGAGCGAACAGGAUUAGAUACCCUGGUAGUCCACGCCGUAAACGGUGGGUACUAGGUGUGGGUUCCUUCCUUGGGAUCCGUGCCGUAGCUAACGCAUUAAGUACCCCGCCUGGGGAGUACGGCCGCAAGGCUAAAACUCAAAGGAAUUGACGGGGGCCCGCACAAGCGGCGGAGCAUGUGGAUUAAUUCGAUGCAACGCGAAGAACCUUACCUGGGUUUGACAUGCACAGGACGCCGGCAGAGAUGUCGGUUCCCUUGUGGCCUGUGUGCAGGUGGUGCAUGGCUGUCGUCAGCUCGUGUCGUGAGAUGUUGGGUUAAGUCCCGCAACGAGCGCAACCCUUGUCCUAUGUUGCCAGCGGGUUAUGCCGGGGACUCGUAGGAGACUGCCGGGGUCAACUCGGAGGAAGGUGGGGAUGACGUCAAGUCAUCAUGCCCCUUAUGUCCAGGGCUUCACACAUGCUACAAUGGCCGGUACAAAGGGCUGCGAUGCCGUGAGGUGGAGCGAAUCCUUUCAAAGCCGGUCUCAGUUCGGAUCGGGGUCUGCAACUCGACCCCGUGAAGUCGGAGUCGCUAGUAAUCGCAGAUCAGCAACGCUGCGGUGAAUACGUUCCCGGGCCUUGUACACACCGCCCGUCACGUCAUGAAAGUCGGUAACACCCGAAGCCGG